UCACUAAAAUAGGUUUUUCAGUUGUUUAUGUAUUUUUUACUUUAUGCAGCAGAGACAGUGGAAGAAGCACAGUGUACAUUUCCAAGGUGUUUGUUACUGCAAUCUUUUCAACACCCCUGGAUAAUUCAGGCUAUACUUCAAUAUCACUUACCAGCUGCCGGACAACUUCUGGUGAUAUAGACAUCAAGUUGAAUGGAAAAAGUGGCUUCCUGCAUAACUUCUUUAUCAAGUAUCUGAAGAAACCCAUUCACAGGAGUUUGACCGCUAACGUAAGCCUUUCAGAUUGUGUACAGGAGGGGUGUAAGGAAUAUCAUUUUCACAAGUCAGCACUGGGAACUUGAUAAAGGAAGAGCUAGAAAAAUAAUAGUCUGAUUCUGGUCUGGUCAGCACAGUCAUUUUGCUGGCCAGAAACACUUUGAGAUAGAGUAUUGAGUUCAUGGCUGAGAUACUGACUGAUAUAGGGGUAAGCUCAACCAGGGCCAGAAUGCGCAGUUAUUUUCCUGUUCCAAUGCAAAUAGGU
RNAcentral lists this long non-coding RNA (520 nucleotides) under Cairina moschata (Muscovy duck). RNAcentral describes it as "domestica (muscovy Duck (domestic type)) lncRNA (ENSCMMG00000005095.1)". The record is from RNAcentral. Lineage: Eukaryota; Metazoa; Chordata; Aves; Anseriformes; Anatidae.